Molecule: long non-coding RNA, 428 nt
Filed under: Nicotiana benthamiana
Lineage: Eukaryota; Viridiplantae; Streptophyta; Magnoliopsida; Solanales; Solanaceae
Description: long non-coding RNA (NBEN_LNC009605)
Source: RNAcentral
CUUUGGCUUUUUCGUAUAAUCGAUAACCGAAUCGAUAAGCCCCAAAAAUCGAUUAAUCGAAAUCGAGAAAAUCGAAACCUUAUUGAAACGAUAACGAUAAGCAUAUGUACAAAUCGAAAUCGAAAAAAUCAAAAUCGAAACCUUAUUGAAACGAUAACGAUAAGCAGAUGUAUAAAUCGAUAAUCGAUAAGUAAUUAUCGAUAAGGGUCAAAACCGAAUCGAUAAAUCGAAUGCACAUCCCUAAAAGAGAUCAUAAAAGUAAAUCAAAAGUUUUAACAAUCACCAUAUCAUCAAAUAAACGAACCAUAUAAUCUUUCACAUAAUUCCAUAACUUAGUUUGGAGUACUUGAUAUUGUUCAUCAUCUUUCAUAAUACCACCGCUUCCUCGAGCCGAGUCUGAUCACGAUCCGAUCGGCUAGGUUGCCUCA